AGGACGAACGCUGGCGGCGUGCUUCACACAUGCAAGUCGAGCGGAAAGGCCCUUUGGGGUACUCGAGCGGCGAACGGGUGAGUAACACGUGAGCAAUCUGCCCUUAGCUCUGGGAUAGCUCCGGGAAACCGGAAUUAAUACUGGAUAUGAUCAUGGCCGGCAUGGGCUGUGGUGGAAAGUUUUUCGGCUAGGGAUGAGCUCGCGGCCUAUCAGCUUGUUGGUGGGGUAAUGGCCUACCAAGGCGACGACGGGUA
Molecule: ribosomal RNA, 254 nt
Filed under: uncultured bacterium
Lineage: Bacteria
Description: partial small subunit ribosomal RNA
Rfam family: Bacterial small subunit ribosomal RNA
Source: RNAcentral